RNAcentral lists this unclassified non-coding RNA (307 nucleotides) under plant metagenome. Its description in RNAcentral is "partial contains 5.8S ribosomal RNA, internal transcribed spacer 2, and large subunit ribosomal RNA". The stretch from base 1 to 105 matches the Rfam family "5.8S ribosomal RNA", at positions 50 to 154 of the family's 154-position model. The record is from RNAcentral.
GAAAUGCGAUAAAUAAUGUGAAUUGCAGAAUUCAGUGAAUCAUCGAAUCUUUGAACGCACAUUGCGCCCGCCAGCACUCUGGCGGGCAUGCCUGUUCGAGCGUCAUUUCAACCCUCAGAACCCCUUGCGGGAUCUGGCGUUGGGGAUUGGCAUCCAGCCAGCCCCGAAAUCUAGUGGCGGUCCCUCCGCGACCUCCCCUGUGCAGUAGCGAUACCUCGCAGCGGGACAGCGGUCUGACCACGCCGUAAAACCCCCAACUUCUCAAGGUUGACCUCGAAUCAGGUAGGAAUACCCGCUGAACUUAAGC